This 252-nucleotide ribosomal RNA is filed under the name uncultured bacterium. RNAcentral's name for it is "partial 16S ribosomal RNA". It matches the Rfam family "Bacterial small subunit ribosomal RNA", at positions 525 to 776 of the family's 1533-position model. The record is from RNAcentral.
ACGGGGGGUGCAAGCGUUAUUCGGAAUUAUUGGGCGUAAAGCGCGCGUAGGCGGUUUUGUAGGUCAGAUGUGAAAUCCCGGGGCUCAACCCCGGAAGUGCAUUUGAAACCCCGAGACUUGAGUAUGGGAGAGGGAAGUGGAAUUCCAGGUGUAGAGGUGAAAUUCGUAGAUAUCUGGAGGAACACCGGUGGCGAAGGCGACUUCCUGGACCAAUACUGACGCUGAGGUGCGAAGGCGUGGGGAGCAAACAGG